UCUGUCUCUCGUUGUUUGGUUUUUCUUAGUUCCGACGAAUAUCCGAAUCAAAGAAUAAAAUUCGAAUCUUCUACAAUUUUCUAAUCCAGAGAGAGAAACAGACAUGAAUGACUAUUGGAUAACGCUCUCUUUCAUUCCCAUCGCGUUCAAACAGUCACAAAUCCCAUCCAUUUUGAUUCUAUGUUCUUCAUCUUCUUCCUUUCAUCACUACAAGUAGUACUACUUCUGAAAUUCUACAUGCUAAUUUCUCAUUCGAUCGAUCGUGUCGUAGAACACAAUUCCCAAAUUGUGAUGGAUAAUAAUUUCCCUCCGCUGCAAUCCCAUGUCGUCAUUGCAUUUGAUGCCACCAAGGAACUCAAAGAACAUGAGCUUCAGCUGGCAGUCACCAACAUACGGCUGAGGGGAGGUAUUCUCAGCAGCGGCAACACGCUUCUCUUGCUUGGUGUCUUGCACACGGUCCUUCACCCCAUGGGAUACCUGACUAGAGUAUGCACUGAUUCUAUGUUCGGGACCAGCGCUCGUGCAAUGGAAGAAGAAGUCUCAAAGAAAGUCGAUUCUUAUGUAAACAUGCUCCAGCAAAAUGCUGAACAAUGCAAAGAUGAAGGGGUUGACAUCAAAGUCAAAAUUACUGCUGGAAUUCCAAUCAAGCAAGUUAUUUGGCAAGAGGUUAUUUCUUGUAGAGCAACUUGGCUUAUACUUGAAAGGCACCUCAGAAAGGAUUUGAGGUUCUACGAGAGACAUAUACCUUGCAAGGUUGGGAUAAUUCUAGAUAGCUUAUCUUUGCAAGUGCGGAGGCGUAAUACCAUAAUUGCAAAUGACAUAGAUGUUUCAGAACAGAAGUUGUUUUAUUCUCUAUCAAAAUCAGUUGAACCUAUCUCUGUCUUGAUCGAGCCAGAUAAUUUAAAUUUUGAGCAGUCUGUUAUUUCUUGUGGAAGUUCUUGUACAUCUUUCAGUUCCCAAGAGGGUAUUGACGUCCUUAGACGGAACUCGUCUUCUUCUUCUUCUUCGAGAAAUAGGCAACAGCAAGAUCUCAACUUUUCCUCGAAUGGGAAAUCUUUGCAAGCGGAACCAAGAAAUCCAUCUGAUUCUCAGAGUUUUAGGAGCCAACACAGCAGCAUUUUUGAGAACGAGUCUUCAGAAAAGCCAGUUCUUUGCGCUGGCUGUGGGCUAAGGACUGUACUAUAUAUCAAGGAUUCGAUUAGAUUCAGAUUUUCAGAUAUUCAAGCUGCAACAUCUGACUUCUCAAAAGAGAACUUGUUGGGAGAAGGUGGAUUUGGUCAUGUCUUUAAAGGUCGACUUAAAGAUGGGCAGAUUAUUGCGGCGAAGCUACGGAAAGAAGCAAGUUUGCAAGGCUUUACUGAAUUCCAUUCAGAAAUAUUCGUCUUGAGCUUUGCAAGACACAAGAAUAUUGUGAUGCUGUUGGGUUAUUGUUCCAGAGAGAAUUAUAACAUUUUGGUGUAUGAGUAUAUCUGCAACAAAUCCCUGGAGUGGCAUUUAUUGAAUAAAUCAGCCCCUACACUUGAGUGGCACCAGAGACAUGCUAUUGCAAUCGGAACAGCCAAAGGAUUGCGUUUUCUACAUGAAGAAUGCCGUGGAGGUCCAGUAAUUCAUCGAGACUUGCGGCCUAGCAACAUACUACUCACUCAUGACUUUGUUCCCAUGAUUGGUGACUUUGGCCUCGCGAAAUGGAAGACAAAUGAGGCUCCUAUUCAGACAAGGGUGCUUGGUACAUUAGGAUACCUUGCACCUGAGUAUGCAGAGAAUGGCAUAGUUUCUGUUAGGACAGAUGUUUAUUCAUUUGGAAUUGUUCUGUUACAACUGAUAUCAGGACGCAAUGUGAUCAAUGAAAAUCAAGAAGAGCAAAGCCAGUCUCUACUGCAAUGGGCAGAAGUGCUGAUCGAAAAGCUUGCAUUACAUGAACUGAUUGAUCCUCGUAUUGGAGAAUCCUACGACACAUACGAACUGUACCAUAUGGCUAGGACAGCAUACUUGUGUGUUAGGAGGAGGCCGGAAAUGCGCCCAUCCAUGGGAGAGGUUGUGCGUCUUCUCGAAGGGGAGAAUGAACACGUCCGAGAUCUAGCACAGCAGUUCAUGCCUCAUUAUAGGCAGCAAUCUACAUAGCAUGGUGUUUGGUGUGCCGAAGGGUGAACUCUCUGUUUACUUAACAAUCAUAAACAGGAGCAUGAGUGCCCCUUUUUGGACUGUCGUCUUGUGGCAAGAUUCAAGCUUCUCAUUAGGCGGACCCACUGUGUUUACCCCUUGCCUCAAAAAGCGGGUUGAUCUGAUCAUCAAGCGGUCCAUGAGUGGACUAAAGAACCGAAUGGCUGAGAGAAAUUGACAAGACAGACCACAUUCGACAUGUGAUUGUUUCCCCACCAGAUGAGGGCCUGAUAUUCAACUCAGGGUGUAUGGAAGAAACGGGGUCCUGCCUGAGGGGCAGCUUGGAUCUCCCAUUUGCGUGCCAUGUCAGCAUGCUCGA
RNA transcript from Magnolia sinica, 2479 nucleotides. It is a transcript of the gene named serine/threonine-protein kinase CDG1-like, with no coding region annotated. The record is from RefSeq and is a predicted model, not a curated record. The transcript is spliced from 11 exons. NCBI's taxonomy places the organism in Eukaryota, Viridiplantae, Streptophyta, Magnoliopsida, Magnoliales, Magnoliaceae.